GACGAACGCUGGCGGCGUGCCUAAUACAUGCAAGUCGAACGCUGAAGAGAGGAGCUUGCUCCUCUUGGAUGAGUUGCGAACGGGUGAGUAACGCGUAGGUAACCUGCCUUGUAGCGGGGGAUAACUAUUGGAAACGAUAGCUAAUACCGCAUAACAAUGGAUGACACAUGUCAUUUAUUUGAAAGGGGCAAUUGCUCCACUACAAGAUGGACCUGCGUUGUAUUAGCUAGUAGGUGAGGUAAUGGCUCACCUAGGCGACGAUACAUAGCCGACCUGAGAGGGUGAUCGGCCACACUGGGACUGAGACACGGCCCAGACUCCUACGGGAGGCAGCAGUAGGGAAUCUUCGGCAAUGGGGGCAACCCUGACCGAGCAACGCCGCGUGAGUGAAGAAGGUUUUCGGAUCGUAAAGCUCUGUUGUAAGUCAAGAACGGGUGUGAGAGUGGAAAGUUCACACUGUGACGGUAGCUUACCAGAAAGGGACGGCUAACUACGUG
Molecule: ribosomal RNA, 497 nt
Filed under: uncultured bacterium
Lineage: Bacteria
Description: partial 16S ribosomal RNA
Rfam family: Bacterial small subunit ribosomal RNA
Source: RNAcentral